ACACCUCAACCCUCCAAUGUUUUUGCAUUGAAGGCGUUGGUAGUGAGCGCUGCCGGACUUUUGAAUCGGCUCGCUUUAAAAUCAUUAGCUGGAUCCAUUCUGACCUGGUUCUACUCGGCGUAAUAAGUUAUUAUCGUCGAGGACGCCUAGCCUUCUAGGCAGGCGGCCACAGUAAGGGUGUUUGAACCGCUUCCAAACACGUCUUGCUCUUGUAGCAAACACUUGAACCU
RNAcentral lists this unclassified non-coding RNA (230 nucleotides) under uncultured Geminibasidium. RNAcentral's name for it is "sequence contains ITS2". The record is from RNAcentral. Lineage: Eukaryota; Fungi; Basidiomycota; Geminibasidiomycetes; Geminibasidiales; Geminibasidiaceae.